RNAcentral lists this ribosomal RNA (273 nucleotides) under uncultured bacterium. Its description in RNAcentral is "partial 16S ribosomal RNA". It matches the Rfam family "Bacterial small subunit ribosomal RNA", at positions 505 to 776 of the family's 1533-position model. The record is from RNAcentral.
GUGCCAGCAGGCCGCGGUAAUACGUAGGGGGCAAGCGUUGUCCGGAUUCACUGGGUGUAAAGGGCGCGUAGGCGGGAUAGCAAGUCAGUGGUGAAAUCUUGCAGCUUAACUGCAAAACUGCCAUUGAUACUGCUGUUCUUGAAUGUGGAAGAGAGAGGCGGAAUUCCAGGUGUAGUAGUGAAAUACGUAGAUAUCUGGAAGAACACCAAUUGCGAAGGCUGCUUCUUGGUCCAUUAUUGACGCUGAGGCGCGAAAGCGUGGGGAGCAAACAGG